AAACCAGCACCUCAAGUGGUCAGGAUGAUUAUUGGGCCUAAAGCAUCCGUAGCCUGUUAUGUAAGUUUCCGGUUAAAUCCAUAUGCUCAACAUAUGGGCCGCCGAAAAUACUGUAGAACUAGGGAGUGGGAGAGGUAGACGGUAUUCGGUAGGAAGGGGUAAAAUCCUUUGAUCUAUUGAGGACCACCUGUGGCGAAGGCGGUCUACCAGAACACGCUCGACGGUGAGGGAUGAAAGCUGGGGGAGCAAACCGGAUUAGAAACCCGAGUAGUCC
This 274-nucleotide ribosomal RNA is filed under the name uncultured bacterium. RNAcentral describes it as "partial 16S ribosomal RNA". It matches the Rfam family "Archaeal small subunit ribosomal RNA", at positions 473 to 747 of the family's 1478-position model. The record is from RNAcentral.